GAAGGGAGAGCUUGCUCUUCUGGAUGAGUUGCGGAACGGGUGAGUAACGCGUAGGUAACCUGCCUGGUAGCGGGGGAUAACUAUUGGAAACGAUAGCUAAUACCGCAUAAUAGUAGAUGUUGCAUGACAUUUGCUUAAAAGGUGCAAUUGCAUCACUACCAGAUGGACCUGCGUUGUAUUAGCUAGUUGGUGGGGUAACGGCUCACCAAGGCGACGAUACAUAGCCGACCUGAGAGGGUGAUCGGCCACACUGGGACUGAGACACGGCCCAGACUCCUACGGGAGGCAGCAGUAGGGAAUCUUCGGCAAUGGACGGAAGUCUGACCGAGCAACGCCGCGUGAGUGAAGAAGGUUUUCGGAUCGUAAAGCUCUGUUGUAAGAGAAGAACGAGUGUGAGAGUGGAAAGUUCACACUGUGACGGUAUCUUACCAGAAAGGGACGGCUAACUACGUGCCAGCAGCCGCGGUAAUACGUAGGUCCCGAGCGUUAUCCGGAUUUAUUGGGCGUAAAGCGAGCGCAGGCGGUUAGAUAAGUCUGAAGUUAAAGGCUGUGGCUUAACCAUAGUACGCUUUGGAAACUGUUUAACUUGAGUGCAGAAGGGGAGAGUGGAAUUCCAUGUGUAGCGGUGAAAUGCGUAGAUAUAUGGAGGAACACCGGUGGCGAAAGCGG
RNAcentral lists this ribosomal RNA (669 nucleotides) under uncultured Bacilli bacterium. RNAcentral describes it as "bacterial SSU rRNA". It matches the Rfam family "Bacterial small subunit ribosomal RNA", at positions 69 to 724 of the family's 1533-position model. Lineage: Bacteria; Bacillati; Bacillota; Bacilli. The record is from RNAcentral.